CCCUUAGAUGCUCUGGGCUGCACGCGCGCUACACUGAAGCUAUCAACACGUUUUCCCUCCCUGAGAAGGGCGGGUAACCUUUUGAAUCAGCUUCGUGGUAGGGAUCGGGGCUUGCAAUUGUUCCCCGUGAACCAGGAAUUCCUAGUAGACGCGAGUCAUAAGCUCGCAUCGAUUAAGUCCCUGCCCUUUGUACACACCGCCCGUCGCUACUACCGAUUGAACGUUUUAGUGAGGCAUUUGGACCGACGCAUCUCAGUUUAACCGCUGGUUUGUGUUGGAAAGACUUCCAAACUUGAGCGUUUAGAGGAAGUAAAAGUCGUAACA
Molecule: ribosomal RNA, 324 nt
Filed under: uncultured eukaryote
Lineage: Eukaryota
Description: partial 18S ribosomal RNA
Rfam family: Eukaryotic small subunit ribosomal RNA
Source: RNAcentral